Molecule: transfer RNA, 70 nt
Filed under: Dipodomys ordii (Ord's kangaroo rat)
Lineage: Eukaryota; Metazoa; Chordata; Mammalia; Rodentia; Heteromyidae
Rfam family: tRNA
About the family: Transfer RNA (tRNA) molecules are approximately 80 nucleotides in length. Their secondary structure includes four short double-helical elements and three loops (D, anti-codon, and T loops).
Source: Rfam by way of RNAcentral
GGGAAUGUGGCUUAGUGGUAGAGUGCUUGCCUAGCAUGCAUGAAGCCCUGGGUUUGAUUCACCAGUACCA